UACGAAGGGGGCUAGCGCUGUUCGGAUUUACUGGGCGUAAAGCGCACGUAGGCGGACUAUUAAGUCAGGGGUGAAAUCCCGGGGCUCAACCCCGGAACUGCCUUUGAUACUGGUAGUCUUGAGUUCGAGAGAGGUGAGUGGAAUUCCGAGUGUAGAGGUGAAAUUCGUAGAUAUUGGGAAGAAUACCAGUGGCGAAGGCGGCCAACUGGUCCAGAUCUGACGCUGAGGUGCGAAAGCGUGGGGAGCAAACAGG
This 253-nucleotide ribosomal RNA is filed under the name uncultured bacterium. RNAcentral's name for it is "partial 16S ribosomal RNA". It matches the Rfam family "Bacterial small subunit ribosomal RNA", at positions 524 to 776 of the family's 1533-position model. The record is from RNAcentral.